AAAUAUCCAGGAUCAAGGAGGGCUGGAUGCAGUGGAGACAGGCACCCAACCUUCCCAGAUACUCCAAGCCUCCAGCUGCCAUGCUCCAGUGCAGACAGACAAUCGGAUGGGGAAGAAGCUGGAUUUGUCCCCAAGGAUGGCAGACAGGACAGUCUUCAUCUGGCAUAUCUCUUGGCAGUUGAGGCAUCUGGCUCAGCAUCUAGUCACAAGACUGGAAUCCAACUCUUUCCCUUCAGCUUCCUGGUCCAGGAAACACAUUUCCAAGCCUCAUGAUUCUGCUUGAUCUUCAAGGUGACCCUGGAAGCUUGGCCGGGUCAGAGUGACUCCCCACCUUCCACUUCCAGACAGGCAGUAGGGCUGGAGAGAUUAUAUGAUGUGCGGGACAUAGAUUAGCAUCUGGGUCUUCACUCAGGCCCACCCUGGUGUGUUGUUCCUGGAGGAGGAGGAGCUGGGUGAGAAGACACGGACACAACCCAGUGGAGAUGGCUCUUGAAUCUGCUGCCACUUGGCAUCUGCUCCUGUUGCUUCCUCUGCCAGGGACACUCUCCCCAUCUUCUCAUCGGACCAUGCCCUACCUAAACGACCUUUUAGGCAAACAUCCCCCGGCUACUUGCAGACAACCUAUAUAUAUGAUUUCCUGGGCGGUUACAGUUCGUAGAUGGUUAUUCUGUGUUUGGUGUUCACCUUUCUGUUUGGAUCUCAAGCUUCUUGGGAAUGGACUCUCUCCAACCCCUAGCACAAAGCUUGUCCCACAAAUGUACAGACUUUGUAAUGUGUGUAAGCUCGGUCAACCAAUCGGAUGAUGAUGCCACAUGUGUGUGUUAUUCACAAAGCUUAUUUGCAUUUUUCUUUUUUGCUUACCAAUCAUUUACCAUUGCUCAUGAAACACGUGGUCACAUUUGGGUUGUGAUCAAGUCAGACUCCUCGCCAUCCCAAUCCCACCUGGCACCCUACUGUCUCUCAUCUUCCCUGUUCUUCCUCUGGAGGGAGCCACAUUGCCAGUUUGUGUGUCUUUGCCAGAUCCUUAGCCACGUGUCCCUCCUGGUUUCUAUCUACUGAGGAGGUGGAAUGUAGGGCCCUGGCCCCCAUUUGGGUAGCUGUUGCUUUGC
Long non-coding RNA from Onychomys torridus (southern grasshopper mouse), 1109 nucleotides. RefSeq lists it as uncharacterized. NCBI's taxonomy places the organism in Eukaryota, Metazoa, Chordata, Mammalia, Rodentia, Cricetidae. The transcript has 3 exons. The record is from RefSeq and is a predicted model, not a curated record.